Long non-coding RNA from Amblyraja radiata (thorny skate), 199 nucleotides. RefSeq lists it as uncharacterized. NCBI's taxonomy places the organism in Eukaryota, Metazoa, Chordata, Chondrichthyes, Rajiformes, Rajidae. The transcript is spliced from 3 exons. The record is from RefSeq and is a predicted model, not a curated record.
AAGUCCAGUGCCAUUUAUUUUUAUAAUCAAACUAGACCGAUCCUCAGUAAACGAGCCAUUAAAACACCAAAAAUGUGUACUUGCCUUCAAGUAGCAGAACUAUGUUCAAUGAACAUUACAAAGAAGUCUUAGCAUAUUGAAUCUCAUGCCAAGGAUAUUAAAAAUAUAAAUAUAUUUCGUAACAAUGACCGCAAUCUCC